Molecule: ribosomal RNA, 1450 nt
Filed under: uncultured organism
Description: SSU rRNA
Rfam family: Bacterial small subunit ribosomal RNA
Source: RNAcentral
AUGAACGCUAGCUACAGGCUUAACACAUGCAAGUCGAGGGGCAGCAUCAUCAAAGCUUGCUUUGAUGGAUGGCGACCGGCGCACGGGUGAGUAACACGUAUCCAACCUGCCGACAACACUGGGAUAGCCUUUCGAAAGAAAGAUUAAUACCGGAUGGCAUAGUUUUCCCGCAUGGGAUAAUUAUUAAAGAAUUUCGGUUGUCGAUGGGGAUGCGUUCCAUUAGGCAGUUGGCGGGGUAACGGCCCACCAAACCAACGAUGGAUAGGGGUUCUGAGAGGAAGGUCCCCCACAUUGGAACUGAGACACGGUCCAAACUCCUACGGGAGGCAGCAGUGAGGAAUAUUGGUCAAUGGACGAGAGUCUGAACCAGCCAAGUAGCGUGUAGGAUGACUGCCCUAUGGGUUGUAAACUUCUUUUAUACGGGAAUAAAGUGAGCCACGUGUGGCUUUUUGUAUGUACCGUAUGAAUAAGGAUCGGCUAACUCCGUGCCAGCAGCCGCGGUAAUACGGAGGAUCCGAGCGUUAUCCGGAUUUAUUGGGUUUAAAGGGAGCGUAGGCGGGUUGUUAAGUCAGUUGUGAAAGUUUGCGGCUCAACCGUAAAAUUGCAGUUGAUACUGGCGACCUUGAGUGCAACAGAGGUAGGCGGAAUUCGUGGUGUAGCGGUGAAAUGCUUAGAUAUCACGAAGAACUCCGAUUGCGAAGGCAGCUUACUGGAUUGUAACUGACGCUGAUGCUCGAAAGUGUGGGUAUCAAACAGGAUUAGAUACCCUGGUAGUCCACACAGUAAACGAUGAAUACUCGCUGUUGGCGAUAUACGGUCAGCGGCCAAGCGAAAGCAUUAAGUAUUCCACCUGGGGAGUACGCCGGCAACGGUGAAACUCAAAGGAAUUGACGGGGGCCCGCACAAGCGGAGGAACAUGUGGUUUAAUUCGAUGAUACGCGAGGAACCUUACCCGGGCUUAAAUUGCAACUGACGGAACCGGAAACGGUUCUUUCUUCGGACAGUUGUGAAGGUGCUGCAUGGUUGUCGUCAGCUCGUGCCGUGAGGUGUCGGCUUAAGUGCCAUAACGAGCGCAACCCUUACGGGUAGUUACCAUCAGGUUAUGCUGGGGACUCUACCCGGACUGCCGUCGUAAGAUGUGAGGAAGGUGGGGAUGACGUCAAAUCAGCACGGCCCUUACGUCCGGGGCUACACACGUGUUACAAUGGGGGGUACAGAAGGCAGCUACACGGCGACGUGGUGCUAAUCCCAAAAGCCUCUCUCAGUUCGGAUUGGAGUCUGCAACCCGACUCCAUGAAGCUGGAUUCGCUAGUAAUCGCGCAUCAGCCACGGCGCGGUGAAUACGUUCCCGGGCCUUGUACACACCGCCCGUCAAGCCAUGAAAGCCGGGGGUACCUGAAGUACGUAACCGCGAGGAGCGUCCUAGGGUAAAACUGGUGAUUGGGGCUAA